Molecule: unclassified non-coding RNA, 262 nt
Filed under: Bombus terrestris (buff-tailed bumblebee)
Lineage: Eukaryota; Metazoa; Arthropoda; Insecta; Hymenoptera; Apidae
Source: RNAcentral
GACCACCGUGGAGUUUUAGUCGGUAAGAGUCCGACACUUCCCAUGCUGCUCGCAGCUGGGAGUCCAUGAGGAUUUCUCCACGAAAAAAAAAAAAAAAAAAAGGUUGGGGUUAGGUUGGGGUUAGGUUGGGGUUAGGUUGUCAACGUCCGUUGGCUGGGGUGAAACACUCGUUCCCGUUAGAUCACGAAAGUUAAGCACCCCAGGUUGCGGGGCGGUCUGGGAUGGGUGACCGCUCCGUGAUGACGUUGGCGCUUUGGAUUGC